AGCGAACGCUGGCGGCAGGCCUAACACAUGCAAGUCGAACGAACCUUCCGGGGUUAGUGGCGGACGGGUGAGUAACACGUGGGAACGUGCCUUUAGGUUCGGAAUAACUCAGGGAAACUUGUGCUAAUACCGAAUGUGCCCUUCGGGGGAAAGAUUUAUCGCCGUUAGAGCGGCCCGCGUCUGAUUAGCUAGUUGGGUGAGGUCAUGGCUCACCAAGGCGACGAUCAGUAGCUGGUCUGUGCGAAGGAUCAGCCACAUUGGAACUGAGACACGGCCCAAACUCCUAGGGGAGGCAGCAGGUGAUUACCUUGCGCAAUGGGCGAAAGUCUGACGCAGCCGUGCCGCGUGAAUGAUGAAGGUCGUAGGAUAGUAAAUUUCUUUCUGCCGAGACGAUAAUGACGGUACCCGGAGAAGAAGCCCCGGCUAACUUCGUG
RNAcentral lists this ribosomal RNA (434 nucleotides) under uncultured bacterium. Its description in RNAcentral is "partial 16S ribosomal RNA". It matches the Rfam family "Bacterial small subunit ribosomal RNA", at positions 29 to 507 of the family's 1533-position model. The record is from RNAcentral.